GAGGUGAGGUGAAGUGAAGUGAAGUGAGGUGAAGUGAGGUGAAGUGAAGUGAAGUGAGGUGAAGUGAGGUGAAGUGAGGUGAAGUGAGGUGAAGUGAGGUGAGGUGAGGUGAAGUGAGGUGAAGUGAAGUGAAGUGAGGUGAGGUGAAGUGAGGUGAAGUGAAGUGAGGUGAAGUGAAGUGAGGUGAGGUGAGGUGAAGUGAAGUGAAGUGAAGUGAAGUGAGGUGAAGUGAGGUGAAGUGAGGUGAAGUGAAGUGAGGUGAAGUGAGGUGAGGUGAAGUGAGGUGAGGUGAAGUGAAGUGAAGUGAGAUGAAGUGAGGUGAAGUGAAGUGAAGUGAGGUGAAGUGAAGUGAGAUGAAGUGAAGUGAGGUGAAGUGAGGUGAAGUGAAGUGAGGUGAGGUGAAGUGAAGUGAGGUGAAGUGAGGUGAGGUGAAGUGAAGUGAGGUGAGGUGAGGUGAAGUGAGGUGAGGUGAGGUGAGGUGAAGUGAGGUGAAGUGAAGUGAGGUGAGGUGAGGUGAAGUGAGGUGAAGUGAAGUGAGAUGAAGUGAAGUGAGGUGAGGUGAGGUGAAGUGAGGUGAAGUGAGGUGAAGUGAAGUGAAGUGAGGUGAAGUGAGGUGAAGUGAGGUGAAGUGAAGUGAGGUGAAGUGAGGUGAGGUGAAGUGAGGUGAGGUGAAGUGAAGUGAGAUGAAGUGAAGUGAAGUGAAGUGAGAUGAAGUGAAGUGAGGUGAGGUGAGGUGAAGUGAAGUGAAGUGAGGUGAAGUGAAGUGAAGUGAGGUGAAGUGAGGUGAAGUGAGGUGAGGUGAGGUGAGGUGAAGUGAGGGGAAGUGAGGUGAGGUGAGGUGAAGUGAAGUGAAGUGAGGUGAAGUGAAGUGAAGUGAGGUGAAGUGAGGUGAAGUGAAGUCAAGUGAAGUGAGGUGAAGUGAGGUGAAGUGAGGUGAAGUGAGGUGAAGUGAGGUGAAGUGAGGCGAUAAAAUUGAAUGAAGUGUUUACGCUCCCACGCGGCUCCGAUGACAUCGCCGACCGCACAACAUGAGUGACAA
Dicentrarchus labrax (European seabass) is the source of this 1039-nucleotide long non-coding RNA. RefSeq lists it as uncharacterized. Lineage: Eukaryota; Metazoa; Chordata; Actinopteri; Moronidae. The transcript is spliced from 10 exons. The record is from RefSeq and is a predicted model, not a curated record.